AGCGAACGCUGGCGGCAGGCUUAACACGUGCAAGUCGAGCGGGCACUUUCGGGUGUCAGCGGCGGACGGGUGCGUAACGCGUGGGAACGUGCCCUCUGGUUCGGAAUAACUCAGGGAAACUUGAGCUAAUACCGGAUACGCCCUUUUGGGGAAAGGCUUGCUGCCGGAGGAUCGGCCCGCGUCUGAUUAGCUAGUUGGUGAGGUAACGGCUCACCAAGGCGACGAUCAGUAGCUGGUCUGAGAGGAUGAUCAGCCACACUGGGACUGAGACACGGCCCAGACUCCUACGGGAAGCAGCAGUGGGGAAUAUUGGACAAUGGGCGCAAGCCUGAUCCAGCCAUGCCGCGUGAGUGAUGAAGGCCUUAGGGUUGUAAAGCUCUUUUAUCCGGGACGAUAAUGACGGUACCGGAGGAAUAAGCCCCGGCUAACUUCGUG
RNAcentral lists this ribosomal RNA (435 nucleotides) under uncultured bacterium. RNAcentral's name for it is "partial 16S ribosomal RNA". It matches the Rfam family "Bacterial small subunit ribosomal RNA", at positions 29 to 507 of the family's 1533-position model. The record is from RNAcentral.